RNAcentral lists this ribosomal RNA (424 nucleotides) under bacterium. RNAcentral's name for it is "partial 16S ribosomal RNA". It matches the Rfam family "Bacterial small subunit ribosomal RNA", at positions 355 to 776 of the family's 1533-position model. The record is from RNAcentral.
UAAGGAAUAUUGGUCAAUGGAGGCAACUCUGAACCAGCCAUGCCGCGUGCAGGAAGACAGCCCUCUGGGUCGUAAACUGCUUUUAUCGGGGAAUAAACCUACUUACGUGUAAGUAGCUGAAUGUACCAGAAGAAUAAGGAUCGGCUAACUCCGUGCCAGCAGCCGCGGUAAUACGGAGGAUCCAAGCGUUAUCCGGAUUUAUUGGGUUUAAAGGGUGCGUAGGCGGCCUGUUAAGUCAGGGUUGAAAGACGGUAGCUCAACUUGCGCAGUGCCCUUGAUCCUGACAGGCUUGAAUGAACUAGAGGUAGGCGGAAUGUGACAAGUAGCGGUGAAAUGCAUAGAUAUGUCACAGAACACCGAUUGCGAAGGCAGCUUACUAUGGUUUUAUUGACGCUGAGGCACGAAAGCGUGGGGAUCAAACAGG